CCUACGGGUGGCAGCAGUGAGGAAUAUUGGUCAAUGGACGAGAGUCUGAACCAGCCAAGUCGCGUGAAGGAUGACUGCCCUAUGGGUUGUAAACUUCUUUUAUAUGGGAAUAAAAUGUUCCACGUGUGGGAUUUUGUAUGUACCAUAUGAAUAAGGAUCGGCUAACUCCGUGCCAGCAGCCGCGGUAAUACGGAGGAUCCGAGCGUUAUCCGGAUUUAUUGGGUUUAAAGGGAGCGUAGGUGGAUUGUUAAGUCAGUUGUGAAAGUUUGCGGCUCAACCGUAACAUGGCAGUUGAAACUGGCAGUCUUGAGUACAGUAGAGGUGGGCGGAAUUCGUGGUGUAGCGGUGAAAUGCUUAGAUAUCACGAAGAACUCCGAUUGCGAAGGCAGUUCACUGGACUGCAACUGACACUGAGGCUCGAAAGUGUGGGUAUCAAACAGGAUUAGAUACCCGAGUAGUC
Molecule: ribosomal RNA, 460 nt
Filed under: uncultured bacterium
Lineage: Bacteria
Description: partial 16S ribosomal RNA
Rfam family: Bacterial small subunit ribosomal RNA
Source: RNAcentral